CCUACGGGGGGCAGCAGUGGGGAAUAUUGGGCAAUGGGCGAAAGCCUGACCCAGCAACGCCGCGUGAAGGAAGAAGGCUUUCGGGUUGUAAACUUCUUUUGACAGGGAAGAGCAGAAGACGGUACCUGUCGAAUAAGCCACGGCUAACUACGUGCCAGCAGCCGCGGUAAUACGUAGGUGGCAAGCGUUGUCCGGAUUUACUGGGUGUAAAGGGCGUGUAGCCGGGCUGACAAGUCAGAUGUGAAAUCCGGGGGCUCAACCCCCGAACUGCAUUUGAAACUGUUGGUCUUGAGUAUCGGAGAGGCAGGCGGAAUUCCUAGUGUAGCGGUGAAAUGCGUAGAUAUAUGGAGGAACACCGGUGGCGAAAGCGGCUCUCUGGCCUGUAACUGACACUGAGGCUCGAAAGCGUGGGGAGCAAACAGGAUUAGAUACCCCAGUAGUC
This 442-nucleotide ribosomal RNA is filed under the name uncultured bacterium. RNAcentral describes it as "partial 16S ribosomal RNA". It matches the Rfam family "Bacterial small subunit ribosomal RNA", at positions 338 to 795 of the family's 1533-position model. The record is from RNAcentral.